RNA transcript from Solanum pennellii, 2685 nucleotides. It is a transcript of the gene named probable folate-biopterin transporter 2, with no coding region annotated. The record is from RefSeq and is a predicted model, not a curated record. The transcript has 6 exons. NCBI's taxonomy places the organism in Eukaryota, Viridiplantae, Streptophyta, Magnoliopsida, Solanales, Solanaceae.
CGUAGUGUUUCGUUUGAAAAUGUUACUUUAUGAUACCCUUCCUUCUCCCUUGGGAUGAUUUUAUCUAUUUAUACUAUAAUAAUACUGAAGUUUGAUGUGAAGUGUGAACAAAAAAUUGUUAUAACUUAGCUACAUUGAAAUUUUUACCUUGUCUCUUCAACAACCAUUCUUGAAUCUACCUGUUUUUUACCCUUCUCAAACAGACAAACAGAGAGAGUGUGAGAGAGAUUUUGUAGCAAUAUGCAAGUUGAAAGAAUAAUUAAUGGUCUAGGAAGGCAUAUGUUUGGGAAUUUAGCUAUCAGAUCAGAUAAAGUUUGAAUCUUUAUUGUAUAUAUAUAUAUUUUUAAGAUAAGUUUAUUUCAUUGCUAUUUGAGGAAUAGUUCAAGUUUAGGAAGAAAUUUGUAAAACCCCAUGGGAGAAACAAGUUUAAGAGAUCCCCCCCAUUUGCUUGGAAGUUGACUUUUCCAUGUUUUUUUUUGUGCUAGAAUAUUGAAAAGGCCUAAUCUUGAAGUGGGGUUUUACAGAUUUUGGGAUCCUCAUUUGCUUGGAAGUUGACUUUUCCUGUUUUCCAAGACAUACUUUGUACCAGGAUAUUGAAAAGGCUUAAUCUUGAACUGGGGUUUUACAGAUUGGGAUCUACAUUAGCUUGGAAGUUGACUUCACCACCAGGAUCUUGAAAAGGUCCAAUCUUGAAGUGGGGUUUUCUUGUUCUUUUGGGAUUCCAUUUUGUAGAUUUGGGGAGUGAUGGGGGGAGAAGAGAAACUUCAAAUUAUUCAUAGUGAGGGGGGAGAAGCCAAACUUCAAAAUAUUCAUAGUGAGGAUGAGGAAGUGCAAGAAAGUAAGCAUAAUAAUGGGAUCUGUAGUUCUAUUUGUGCUCCAGUCAACUGGUUCAAAAUGCUUACUAUGGAAUUACACUGGAAUUUUGUGUUUAGUGUGGUGAUUGUGUAUGGAGUAAGCCAAGGACUUGGUGGAGCUUUUUCCAGAAUAAGCACAGAGUACUAUAUGAAGGAUGUACAAAAAGUGCAACCUUCUGAAUCUCAGGUUUACUCAGGGAUAACUUCAAUCCCCUGGAUGGUCAAGCCUCUUUGGGGUCUUCUCACUGAUGCUGUUCCCAUUUUGGGGUAUCGUCGCAGACCUUAUUUCUUGUUUGCGGGUUCUCUUGGAGUUGUCUCUAUGCUGUUCUUAUCGUUGCACAAAAACUUGCAUAUUGUGCUUGCACUGCUCUCCUUGACAGCAGGAAGUGCUGCGGUUGCUAUAGCUGACGUGACUGUUGAUGCAUGUGUGGCACAAAACAGUGGUUCUCAUCCUUCCCUUGCAGCUGAUAUGCAAAGCUUAUGUGCCUUGAGUUCCUCAAUUGGGGCACUAGUGGGGUUUUCUUUAAGUGGUAUAUUAGUUCAUUUACUUGGCCCUAUGGGGGUAUAUGGCUUAUUGUCCAUACCAGCCGGGCUUGUUAUUUUGGUAGGAGUUUUGCUCAAGGAAUCUCCUACACACAGCUUUGCUUAUCAACAGGUUAAUCAGAACUUAACUGAUGCUGCCAAGGCUAUGUGGAAUACUUUGAAAUGCCCGGAAGUUUGGCGACCAUGUCUUUAUAUGUACUUAUCCUUUGCGGUGAGUGUAGAUAUCCAGGAAGGUAUGUUCUACUGGGCAACAGAUGCAAAGGGAGGACCACAUUUUUCAAAGGAGUAUAUCGGAUACAUAUCAGCAGUAGCCUCCAUUGGAUCACUAUUAGGGGCUAUACUGUACCAAUAUGGAUUAAAAGACCAUUCUUUUCGAGACCUGCUCUUUUGGACUCAGUUAUUGUUUGGUCUAUCAGGAAUGCUGGAUUUGGUGCUAGUGUUGCGUUUAAAUUUGAAAGUCGGUAUACCUGAUUAUUUCUUCAUGGUGAUGGAUGCAAGUGUAACUCAAUUGGUUGGACGACUAAAGUGGAUGCCACUUCUUGUUCUAAGUUCCAAGCUGUGUCCUCCUGGCAUUGAAGGCACCUUUUUCGCCUUGCUCAUGUCAAUUGACAAUACUGGACUUCUGACAUCAACAUGGUUUGGUGGAUUGUUGCUUCAUAUCUUCAAAAUUACAAGGACAAAGUUUCAUAAUCUCUGGCUAGCCAUUUUGAUAAGGAACAUUUUGAGAAUCACUCCACUUUUUAUACUGUUUUUGAUCCCCAGAAGUGAUCCUAACUCCUCUAUCCUUCCUGAUGAGAUGCCAGAUUCAAAAGAAACCACUGGAACCUCAACAACUCAGAAUGAAAAUAUCGAACUUGUCGCUCUGGUUCACAACAUGGAUACUAGAUAGCGGUGGAUUAUACACGUUUUUGAGCUUAACUAUUUCCAUAACCAUACUUAUAGAAGUGAUUACAAGCUUGAAACUUCAGAAAUGGAUUGUGUUAAAUGAAACCUCAAAAGAUGCUCUACUUUCUUAUCAAUUUUCUUCAACUCGUCCCCACAGUGUCUCGUGGACACUUGAUGUUGAUGUUGACGUGGAUCAUUUUGUAAGUUGAACUCUUUCAAUUGACACGAUGGAGAUGAGUUUGAGUUGUCUAGAUGUGCAUAUUCAAAGUUGGAGUGCUUACUUAUCAACUGCGGCCAAGUUUUGAGUAUCUGUUUAUGUAUUACGAAGAACUACCCCAGUUUGGUUUUUUACAAAAAGGAAUGAAUGACAAUACAGUUUUAAAGUGAUAUCAUCUUUUCUUGA